GACGAACGCUGGCGGCGUGCUUAACACAUGCGAGUCGAACGGAAAGGCCCUGCUUUUGUGGGGUGCUCGAGUGGCGAACGGGUGAGUAACACGUGAGUAACCUGCCCUUGACUUUGGGAUAACUUCGGGAAACUGGGGCUAAUACCGGAUAGGAGCUCCUGCUGCAUGGUGGGGGUUGGAAAGUUUCGGCGGUUGGGGAUGGACUCGCGGCUUAUCAGCUUGUUGGUGGGGUAGUGGCUUACCAAGGCUUUGACGGGUAGCCGGCCUGAGAGGGUGACCGGCCACAUUGGGACUGAGAUACGGCCCAGACUCCUACGGGAGGCAGCAGUGGGGAAUAUUGCACAAUGGGCGGAAGCCUGAUGCAGCAACGCCGCGUGCGGGAUGACGGCCUUCGGGUUGUAAACCGCUUUCGCCUGUGACGAAGCGUGAGUGACGGUAAUGGGUAAAGAAGCACCGGCUAACUACGU
Molecule: ribosomal RNA, 467 nt
Filed under: uncultured bacterium
Lineage: Bacteria
Description: partial 16S ribosomal RNA
Rfam family: Bacterial small subunit ribosomal RNA
Source: RNAcentral